Molecule: ribosomal RNA, 256 nt
Filed under: uncultured bacterium
Lineage: Bacteria
Description: partial 16S ribosomal RNA
Rfam family: Bacterial small subunit ribosomal RNA
Source: RNAcentral
UACGAAGGGGGCUAGCGUUGCUCGGAAUUACUGGGCGUAAAGCGCACGUAGGCGGCUUUCUAAGUCGGGGGUGAAAUCCUGGAGCUCAACUCCAGAACUGCCUUCGAUACUGGAGAGCUCGAGUCCGGGAGAGGUGAGUGGAACUGCGAGUGUAGAGGUGAAAUUCGUAGAUAUUCGCAAGAACACCAGUGGCGAAGGCGGCUCACUGGCCCGGUACUGACGCUGAGGGUGACGAAAGCGUGGGGAGCAAACAGGG